RNAcentral lists this ribosomal RNA (496 nucleotides) under uncultured bacterium. RNAcentral's name for it is "partial 16S ribosomal RNA". It matches the Rfam family "Bacterial small subunit ribosomal RNA", at positions 28 to 506 of the family's 1533-position model. The record is from RNAcentral.
GAUGAACGCUGGCGGCGUGCCUAAUACAUGCAAGUCGAGCGAACGGACGAGAAGCUUGCUUCUCUGAUGUUAGCGGCGGACGGGUGAGUAACACGUGGAUAACCUACCUAUAAGACUGGGAUAACUUCGGGAAACCGUAGCUAAUACCGGAUAAUAUUUUGAACCGCAUGGUUCAAAAGUGAAAGACGGUCUUGCUGUCACUUAUAGAUGGAUCCGCGCUGCAUUAGCUAGUUGGUAAGGUAACGGCUUACCAAGGCAACGAUGCAUAGCCGACCUGAGAGGGUGAUCGGCCACACUGGAACUGAGACACGGUCCAGACUCCUACGGGAGGCAGCAGUAGGGAAUCUGCCGCAAUGGGCGAAAGCCUGACGGAGCAACGCCGCGUGAGUGAUGAAGGUCUUCGGAUCGUAAAACUCUGUUAUUAGGGAAGAACAUAUGUGUAAGUAACUGUGCACAUCUUGACGGUACCUAAUCAGAAAGCCACGGCUAACUACGU